Small nuclear RNA from Stegodyphus dumicola, 187 nucleotides. The record is from RefSeq and is a predicted model, not a curated record. Lineage: Eukaryota; Metazoa; Arthropoda; Arachnida; Araneae; Eresidae.
AUCGCUUCUCGGUCUUUUGGCUAAGAUCAAAGUGUAGUAUCUAUCCUAACGCUAAUGCGUCUUCACAGUUUUUUUUUUUUUUUUUUUUUUUUCUGUUUCCCAUCAAUGGCGGUAGAGUCCAAAUUCUAAUAUAAAGAGAAGAGCAAACUCCCUCCAUCAGUCCAAUCUCAAAAUGAGGGAAGAAAGA